AAGAGGUGUAUUUAAACCAUUAGAACUGCUAAUUCUAAUAACUAAAAAUAGUAUCCUUAGACCUCUUAC
Molecule: transfer RNA, 69 nt
Filed under: Darevskia rudis
Lineage: Eukaryota; Metazoa; Chordata; Lepidosauria; Squamata; Lacertidae
Description: tRNA-Ser
Source: RNAcentral